UAGGGAAUCUUGCGCAAUGGGCGAAAGCCUGACGCAGCGACGCCGCGUGCGGGAAGAAGGCCUUCGGGUUGUAAACCGCUUUCAGGAGGGACGAAGCCACUCGGGUUAAUAGCCCAGAGGGUGACGGUACCUUCAGAAGAAGCCCCGGCUAACUACGUGCCAGCAGCCGCGGUAAUACGUAGGGGGCAAGCGUUGUCCGGAUUUAUUGGGCGUAAAGCGCGUGUAGGUGGCCGAUUAGGUCCGCUGUGAAAACUCGAGGCUCAACCUCGAGAUGUCGGUGGAAACCAGUCGGCUAGAGUCCGGAAGAGGAGAGUGGAAUUCCUGGUGUAGCGGUGAAAUGCGCAGAUAUCAGGAAGAACACCAAUGGCGAAGGCAGCUCUCUGGGACGGUACUGACACUGAGACGCGAAAGCGUGGGGAGCGAACAG
This 427-nucleotide ribosomal RNA is filed under the name uncultured bacterium. Its description in RNAcentral is "bacterial SSU rRNA". It matches the Rfam family "Bacterial small subunit ribosomal RNA", at positions 355 to 775 of the family's 1533-position model. The record is from RNAcentral.